UUCGGAGGCCUUUGCUUUAGGUAGAGAAGCGGAGCGAGAGUCGCGAUGAUGAUCAGGUGGAUGCUUCCCCAUGAGAUGGGCGUUUGCAGACUUAUCUUUGCCGUUGAUCGCUCUCAAAGUGGACGGCGAUGAUCGCUCCAGUUGCUUAUCAAGCGUCUCGUUGAUACGCUUCCGAUCCACCGACCCCACCUCUCCCUUAGAGCCACCGGCCGCUCUCUCUCCUCUGUACAUCUUCCCUUUUUAUCUAUCCCUCCUUUAUUUGUCGAUGAUAAUAAUCGCUUCCGUUCUCGCGAAAUGACGCAAAUGGCCCUAGGCCCAAAAAUCUAGGAUUCUCUCUAUUUUCUUCUUUAUUAUUUCAGAGAGAUGGAGCUGAAGUGCUAAAAUGUUUAAGCUAAACCCAAUUUUAUUAAUUUUUAAAAAAAAAUCGCCAAAGAGAGAAAGAGAAAUGGUGCAGAGGGGUUUUUAGAGAGAGAAAGGCUAAAAUCGGGAUAAACUUUAUAGGUCCGGCGACAUGGCCGAUAAAUCGGCGGUGUAGCUUAGCUUAGGCUUAGCUUUGAGUUUAAAGGGCUUUUCUAAUAUUCUUUCAAGUAUCUGGC
This 596-nucleotide long non-coding RNA is filed under the name Gossypium barbadense (sea-island cotton). RNAcentral describes it as "long non-coding RNA (GBAR_LNC023604)". The record is from RNAcentral. Lineage: Eukaryota; Viridiplantae; Streptophyta; Magnoliopsida; Malvales; Malvaceae.